This 1521-nucleotide ribosomal RNA is filed under the name metagenome. Its description in RNAcentral is "bacterial SSU rRNA". It matches the Rfam family "Bacterial small subunit ribosomal RNA". The record is from RNAcentral.
AGAGUUUGAUUCUGGCUCAGAACGAACGCUGGCAGCGUGGAUUAGGCAUGCAAGUCGAACGUGAAGCCGUUGAACAAUCUUUCGGGAGAGUGAUUCGGUGGAAAGUGGCGGAAGGGUGAGUAACGCGUGGGUGAGCUGUCUCGAAGUUGGGGACAACCAGAUGAAAAUCAGGCUAAUACCGAAUGUGGUCUUCUGGCGCAUGUCAGGAUGACUAAAGGUGGGGAUUCUUCGGAACCUGCCGCUUUGAGAGGUGCCCGCGUGCCAUCAGCUUGUUGGUAGGGUAAUGGCCUACCAAGGCUUACGGCUAGCCGGCCUGAGAGGGUGAUCGGCCACACUGGGACUGAGACACUGCCCAGACUCCUACGGGAGGCUGCAGUCGAGGAUCAUUCGCAAUGCGCGAAAGCGUGACGAUGCGACGCUGCGUGGGGGAUGAAGGCCUUCGGGUCGUAAACUCCUGUCAUGAGGGAACAGUAUCCCUGUAAUUAAUAGUUGCGGGGCUCGAUGGUACCUCAAGAGGAAGCCACGGCUAACUCUGUGCCAGCAGCCGCGGUAAUACAGAGGUGGCGAGCGUUGUUCGGAUUUACUGGGCGUAAAGGGUGCGUAGGUGGUUUUGUGUGUCGGAUGUGAAAUCCCAUGGCUCAACUGUGGAAUUGCAUUCGAAACUGCGGAACUAGAGUGCAGGAUGGGAGAGCGGAAUUCUUGGUGUAGCGGUGAAAUGCGUUGAUAUCAAGAAGAACACCGGUGGCGAAGGCGGCUCUCUGGAAUGCUACUGACACUGAGGCACGAAAGCUGGGGGAGCGAACAGGAUUAGAUACCCUGGUAGUCCCAGCCGUAAACGGUGCACACUUGGUGUGGGGAGAUUUAACCCUCUCCGUGCCGGAGUUAACGCGUUAAGUGUGCCGCCUGGGGAGUACGGCCGCAAGGCUAAAACUCAAAGAAAUUGACGGGGGCCCGCACAAGCGGAGGAGCAUGUGGCUUAAUUCGAUGCAACGCGAAGAACCUUACCAGGGCUUGACAUGGGGACCCUUCGGGGGUGGUAGCGAAAGUUACCUUUACCAUCACAGGUGCUGCAUGGCUGUCGUCAGUUCGUGCCGUGAGGUGUUGGGUUAAGUCCCGUAACGAACGCACCCUUGUGGCUAGUUGCCACCGGUGGUGAUGAGCCGCCGAGCACUCUAGCCAGACUGCCCGUACAAGCGGGAGGAAGGUGGGGAUGACGUCAAGUCAGUAUGGCCCUUACGUCCUGGGCUGCACACGUGCUACAAUGGUCGGUACAGUGGGAUGCAAUACCGCGAGGUGGAGCAAAUCCCCAAAGCCGCCCUCAGUUCGGAUUGAAGUCUGCAACUCGACUUCAUGAAGUUGGAUUCGCUAUUAACGGCGCAUCAGCUACGGCGCCGUGAAUACGUUCCCGGGCCUUGUACACACCGCCCGUCACAUCAUGAAAGCCGUCUGCACCCGAAGUCGCUGAGCCAACCAUUUAUGGAGGCAGGUGCCGAAGGUGUGGGUGGUGAUUGGGAUGAAGUC